CAGGCCUAACACAUGCAAGUCGAGGGAUGCCAGCAAUGGUAGACCGGCAAACGGGUGCGUAACACGUACACAACUUUCCGUCAAGUGGGGCAUAGCCCGGGGAAACCCGGAUUAAUACCCCAUAAAAUAUAAGCUGCGGCAUCGCAGUAAUAUUAAAGCUCCGGCGCUUGAUGAUGGGUGUGCGGCUGAUUAGGUAGUUGGCGGGGUAACGGCCCACCAAGCCUUCGAUCAGUAGCUGAUGUGAGAGCAUGAUCAGCCACACGGGCACUGAGACACGGGCCCGACUCCUACGGGAGGCAGCAGUAAGGAAUAUUGGUCAAUGGGCGCAAGCCUGAACCAGCCAUGCCGCGUGGAGGAUGAAGGUCCUCUGGAUUGUAAACUUCUUUUAUUUGGGACGAAAAACGGGGAUUCUUCCUCACUUGACGGUACCAGAUGAAUAAGCACCGGCUAACUCCGUGCCAGCAGCCGCGGUAAUACGGAGGGUGCAAGCGUUAUCCGGAUUCACUGGGUUUAAAGGGUGCGUAGGCGGGCUGUUAAGUCAGUGGUGAAAUCUUUGGGCUUAACCCGAAAACUGCCAUUGAUACUAUCAGUCUUGAAUAUUGUGGAGGUCUGCGGAAUAUGUCAUGUAGCGGUGAAAUGCUUAGAUAUGACAUAGAACACCAAUUGCGAAGGCAGCAGACUACGCAUAUAUUGACGCUGAGGCACGAAAGCGUGGGGAUCAAACAGGAUUAGAUACCCUGGUAGUCCACG
RNAcentral lists this ribosomal RNA (750 nucleotides) under uncultured bacterium. RNAcentral describes it as "bacterial SSU rRNA". It matches the Rfam family "Bacterial small subunit ribosomal RNA", at positions 43 to 799 of the family's 1533-position model. The record is from RNAcentral.